UAGUCCACGCAGUAAACGAUGAGUGCUAGAUUAUUGGAUUUAUUCAGUGUCGAAGCUAACGCGUUAAGCACUCCGCCUGAGGAUUACGAUCGCAAGAUUAAAACUUAAAGGAAUUGACGGGGACCCGCACAAGCGGUGGAACAUGUGGUUUAAUUCGAUGAUACGCGAAAAACCUUACCAGGUUUUGACAUAUUAGUCGUACGGUUAAGAGAUUAACUGGUCAGUUAGGCUGGACUAUUACAGGUGUUGCAUGGCUGUCGUCAGCUCGUGUCGUGAGAUGUUAGGUUAAGUCCUGUAACGAGCGCAACCCUUACCGUUAUUUGCCAUCAGGUAAUGCUGGGAACUAUAACGGAACUGUCGGCGAUAAGCCGGAGGAAGGUGGGGACGACGUCAAAUCAUCAUGGCCUUUAUGCCUAGGGCUACACACGUGCUACAAUGGCAGGUACAGAGGGUUGCGAAGGGGUGACCUGGAGCUAAUCUCAGAAGGCCUGUCCCAGUUCGGAUUGGAGU
Molecule: ribosomal RNA, 510 nt
Filed under: uncultured bacterium
Lineage: Bacteria
Description: bacterial SSU rRNA
Rfam family: Bacterial small subunit ribosomal RNA
Source: RNAcentral